AGGUGCAAUGCCAGGUACAGUAGCAGCCAUACUGAAAACAAGAGGGAAAAGUCAAGCAAUUGCAGAGAGAUGAACCCUGGCAUCAGUGGACUGCACUGGAUCCCUUGAGUGCGAGGGCCCUCUGUGCACGCGGCCCUGGACUACAUGCUUCCUGCCCAUGGCCUCCUACCUCGAAGCAGGUAUUAUUGAGCUAUCUUGUCUACUUAUGUGUUUUAUGA
Molecule: long non-coding RNA, 218 nt
Filed under: Capra hircus (goat)
Lineage: Eukaryota; Metazoa; Chordata; Mammalia; Artiodactyla; Bovidae
Description: lncRNA (ENSCHIG00000005395.1)
Source: RNAcentral